This 497-nucleotide ribosomal RNA is filed under the name uncultured bacterium. Its description in RNAcentral is "partial 16S ribosomal RNA". It matches the Rfam family "Bacterial small subunit ribosomal RNA", at positions 28 to 507 of the family's 1533-position model. The record is from RNAcentral.
GAUGAACGCUGGCGGCGUGCCUAAUACAUGCAAGUCGAGCGAACAGACGAGGAGCUUGCUCCUCUGACGUUAGCGGCGGGCGGGUGAGUAACACGUGGAUAACCUACCUAUCAGACUGGGAUAACUUCGGGAAACCGGAGCUAAUACCGGAUGAUAUAUUGAACCGCAUGGUUCAAUAGUGAAAGACGGUUUUGCGGUCACUUAUAGAUGGAUCCGCGCCGCAUUAGCUAGUUGGGAAGGUAACGGCCUACCAAGGCAACGAUGCGUAGACGACCUGAGGGGGUGAUAGGCAACACUGGAACUGAGACACGGUCCAGACUCCUACGGGAGGCAGCAGUAGGGAAUCUUCCGCAAUGGGCGAAAGCCUGACGGAGCAACGCCGCGUGAGUGAUGAAGGUCUCCGGAUCGUAAAACUCUGUUAUUAGUGAAGAACAAAUGUGUAAGUAACCAUGCCCGUCUUGACGGUACCUAAUCAGAAAGCCCCGGCUAACUACGUG